GAUGAACGCUGGCGGCGUGCCUAAUACAUGCAAGUCGAGCGAACAGACGAGGAGCUUGCUCCUCUGACGUUAGCGGCGGACGGGUGAGUAACACGUGGAUAACCUACCUAUAAGACUGGGAUAACUUCGGGAAACCGGAGCUAAUACCGGAUAAUAUAUUGAACCGCAUGGUUCAAUAGUGAAAGACGGUUUUGCUGUCACUUAUAGAUGGAUCCGCGCCGCAUUAGCUAGUUGGUAAGGUAACGGCUUACCAAGGCAACGAUGCGUAGCCGACCUGAGAGGGUGAUCGGCCACACUGGAACUGGGCCACGGUCCAGACUCCUACGGGGGGCGGCAGUAGGGAAUCUUCCGCAAUGGGCGAAGGCCUGACGGAGCAACGCCGCGUGAGUGAUGAAGGUCUUCGGAUCGUAAAACUCUGUUAUUAGGGAAGAACAAAUGUGUAAGUAACUAUGCACGUCUUGACGGUACCUAAUCAGAAAGCCACGGCUAACUACGUG
This 497-nucleotide ribosomal RNA is filed under the name uncultured bacterium. Its description in RNAcentral is "partial 16S ribosomal RNA". It matches the Rfam family "Bacterial small subunit ribosomal RNA", at positions 28 to 507 of the family's 1533-position model. The record is from RNAcentral.